RNAcentral lists this ribosomal RNA (305 nucleotides) under uncultured bacterium. RNAcentral's name for it is "bacterial SSU rRNA". It matches the Rfam family "Bacterial small subunit ribosomal RNA", at positions 334 to 655 of the family's 1533-position model. The record is from RNAcentral.
UGUGCCUACGGGAUGCAGCAGUGGGGAAUAUUGCGCAAUGGGCGAAAGCCUGACGCAGCGACGCCGCGUGGGUGAAGGAGCGUUUCGGCGCGUAAAGCCCUAUCGGCAGGGAAGAAGGAGGACGGUACCUGACUAAGAAGCCCCGGCUAACUACGUGCCAGCAGCCGCGGUAAUACGUAGGGGGCAAGCGUUAUCCGGAUUUACUGGGUGUAAAGGGGGCGCAGACGGCAGCGCAAGCCAGGAGUGAAAGCCCGGGGCCCAACCCCGGGACUGCUCUUGGAACUGCGCGGCUGGAGUGCAGGAGG